GUAUCAAAUUGUGACUAAACCAAAAGAAGCAAAUCUGGAAACUGAAGUACCAAUACGUGAAAAGAGUUCUUUUGGUAUUGGGAGUGCCAGUUGUCUUUGUUCAUGAAAUACUUCUUCGUAAUAGACAGCAUGCAGCCGUCUUCAAGAGGUGAGAAUUUUACUUACCGGCUUAAACAGAAGUGUUAUCUCAAGAUAACAUAAUAUCUGGAGGGAGAGGCAUAAAAGCUCACUCUCUCUGCUGGAGCACAGAGGAAAGGCCAUAUAAACACACAGGGAGAAGGCCACCAUCUGCGAGCAGAGGAGUGGGGCCUCACCAGAAACCAACCCUGCUGGCACCUUGAUCCUGGAAUUCCAGCCUCAGAACUCAGAGAAAAUAAAUUUCUGUGAUUUAUUCCACCAA
Molecule: long non-coding RNA, 400 nt
Filed under: Pongo abelii (Sumatran orangutan)
Lineage: Eukaryota; Metazoa; Chordata; Mammalia; Primates; Hominidae
Description: lincRNA
Source: RNAcentral